Molecule: ribosomal RNA, 497 nt
Filed under: uncultured bacterium
Lineage: Bacteria
Description: partial 16S ribosomal RNA
Rfam family: Bacterial small subunit ribosomal RNA
Source: RNAcentral
GAUGAACGCUGGCGGCGUGCCUAAUACAUGCAAGUCGAGCGAACGGACGAGAAGCUUGCUUCUCUGAUGUUAGCGGCGGACGGGUGAGUAACACGUGGAUAACCUACCUAUAAGACUGGGAUAACUUCGGGAAACCGGAGCUAAUACCGGAUAAUAUUUUGAACCGCAUGGUUCAAAAGUGAAAGACGGUCUUGCUGUCACUUAUAGAUGGAUCCGCGCUGCAUUAGGUAGUUGGUAAGGUAACGGCUUACCAAGGCAACGAUGCAUAGCCGACCUGAGAGGGUGAUCGGACACACUGGAACUGAGACACGGUACAGACUCCUACGGGAGGCAGCAGUAGGGAAUCUUCCGCAAUGGGCGAAAGCCUGACGGAGCAACGCCGCGUGAGUGAUGAAGGUCUUCGGAUCGUAAAACUCUGUUAUUAGGGAAGAACAUAUGUGUAAGUAACUGUGCACAUCUUGACGGUACCUAAUCAGAAAGCCACGGCUAACUACGUG